GAUAAACGCUGGCGGCGUGCCUAAUGCAUGCAAGUCGAACGGUCUAGUUUCUUCGGAAGCUAGGUAGUGGCAAACGGGUGAGUAACACGUGGGGAUCUGCCCAGUAGUGGGGAACGAACUCCGAGAAAUACGGAGCUAAUACCGCAUACGGUAGGUGUUGAGGAACACCAUACUAAAGCGAGCAAUCGCGCUAUUGGAGGAACCUGCGGCUGAUUAGCUAGUUGGUGGGAAGCCGU
Molecule: ribosomal RNA, 236 nt
Filed under: uncultured bacterium
Lineage: Bacteria
Description: partial 16S ribosomal RNA
Rfam family: Bacterial small subunit ribosomal RNA
Source: RNAcentral